This 396-nucleotide ribosomal RNA is filed under the name uncultured bacterium. RNAcentral's name for it is "bacterial SSU rRNA". It matches the Rfam family "Bacterial small subunit ribosomal RNA", at positions 30 to 439 of the family's 1533-position model. The record is from RNAcentral.
AUUGAACGCUGGCGGUAUGCUUAAGACAUGCAAGUCGAACGGUAACAGACCUUCGGGUGCUGACGAGUGGCGGACGGGUGAGUAACACGUGGGAAUCUACCUUGUAGUGGGGGAUAAGCCAGGGAAACUUGGACUAAUACCGCAUACGCCCUAAGGGGGAAAGGAGUAAUUCGCUAUAAGAUGAGCCCGCGUCUGAUUAGCUAGUUGGUGAGGUAAAGGCUCACCAAGGCGACGAUCAGUAGCUGGUCUGAGAGGAUGACCAGCCACAUUGGGACUGAGACACGGCCCAGACUCCUACGGGAGGCAGCAGUCGGGAAUAUUGGACAAUGGGGGCGAACCCUGAUCCAGCAAUACCGCGUGUGUGAAGAAGGCCUGCGGGUUGUAAAGCACUUUUAG